Molecule: ribosomal RNA, 389 nt
Filed under: Campylobacter gracilis
Lineage: Bacteria; Pseudomonadati; Campylobacterota; Epsilonproteobacteria; Campylobacterales; Campylobacteraceae
Description: bacterial SSU rRNA
Rfam family: Bacterial small subunit ribosomal RNA
Source: RNAcentral
AGUGAACGCUGGCGGCGUGCCUAAUACAUGCAAGUCGAACGGAAUUUAAAAGAGCUUGCUCUUUUAAAUUUAGUGGCGCACGGGUGAGUAAUAUAUAGCUAAUCUGCCCCUUGCUGGAGGACAACAGUUAGAAAUGACUGCUAAUACUCCAUACUCCUUUUUACCAUAAGAUAAAUCGGGAAAGAAUUUCGGCAAGGGAUGAGACUAUAUCGUAUCAGCUAGUCGGUGGGGUAACGGCCUACCGAGGCUAUGACGCGUAACUGGUCUGAGAGGAUGAUCGGUCACAUUGGAACUGAGACACGGUCCAAACUCCUACGGGAGGCAGCAGUAGGGAAUAUUGCGCAAUGGGGGAAACCCCUGACGCAGCAACGCCGCGUGGAGGAUGACAC